RNAcentral lists this ribosomal RNA (515 nucleotides) under uncultured Glomeraceae. RNAcentral's name for it is "SSU rRNA". It matches the Rfam family "Eukaryotic small subunit ribosomal RNA", at positions 569 to 1087 of the family's 1831-position model. The record is from RNAcentral. Lineage: Eukaryota; Fungi; Glomeromycota; Glomeromycetes; Glomerales; Glomeraceae.
AGCAGCCGCGGUAAUUCCAGCUCCAAUAGCGUAUAUUAAAGUUGUUGCAGUUAAAAAGCUCGUAGUUGAAUUUCGGGACCAAUUUGUUGGUCGUGCCUCGGUACGUACUGGUAUUAUUGGUUUCUCCCUUCUGAAGAACCUCGAUGUCAUUAAUUUGGUGUCGUGGGGAAUCAGGACUGUUACUUUGAAAAAAUUAGAGUGUUUAAAGCAGGCAUACGCUUGAAUACAUUAGCAUGGAAUAAUGAAAUAGGACGUUUGAUUCUAUUUUGUUGGUUUCUAGGAUCGACGUAAUGAUUAAUAGGGAUAGUUGGGGCAUUAGUAUUCAAUUGUCAGAGGUGAAAUUCUUGGAUUUAUUGAAGACUAACUACUGCGAAAGCAUUUGCCAAGGAUGUUUUCAUUAAUCAAGAACGAAAGUUAGGGGAUCGAAGACGAUCAGAUACCGUCGUAGUCUUAACCAUAAACUAUGCCGACUAGGGAUCGGAUGAUGUUAAUUUUUUAAUGACUCAUUCGGCGCC